Molecule: ribosomal RNA, 2768 nt
Filed under: Triticum aestivum (bread wheat)
Lineage: Eukaryota; Viridiplantae; Streptophyta; Magnoliopsida; Poales; Poaceae
Description: partial small subunit ribosomal RNA
Source: RNAcentral
GCGGGGACAAAGAAGAGGUUGUGUGCACUUAGGAGAAGGGGUUUAAAGAAACCGAGAGAAAUCAGGGGAGGGGAGGGCCGGAGAGGCGGGGUACGAGCUUGGGAGGUUCCUCUGUCGGUCGCUCCGCCGGUCCAGGGUUUAGAUAGAGUCAAGGAGAGGGCAGCCGACAGACAACGAGAAGAAGCUCUUAUUAGUACCAGUUUGUAUUUUCUUUCAGACAUUGUUACGUAAGGAAAAAACUCUUCUUUCGUUCUCAACUACGAAGACAUCUUUUAUUAAACCCCCGGUCGGGAGUGAACCACCUACUUGUUCUUGGUCGCCAUCUUCUUCUUUAACGUUGUAGUUGUGGCGGACUCCAAGUCUCUCUCCCUCCCUUGCUACUACGAAGACAAGACUAUCAUCUUUCCCUAGGCCCAAACGCUACGGUUUAAACCCUAAUAGGAGGAUUACGAGUUCUUGUUCUAGCAUUACGUAUAUACUUCGUACCUCGUAUAGUCUAACUUUACCUACUCAUGGGAGAACUGCUAAGUCAUCAGGUAGUUGCGUUCAAAGUCAUAGUAACCAAAUUUAGGAAGGGAACCAACCUUAUAAGUGGUAACUUUCUACGUCAGAUAACAAAAGGUACGAAAAACAAAAUAUUCUUCGGUGAACCUUUUUCCCAGAUUACACAAAUGUCACGUUCCUAAGUCUUUUACCUUCGCUCAAUUACUACCUUUGUUUACGCGUAAGAACUGAGUGUACCCUUUCCUAUCAUUUAGGCGAGUAUCAAAACGACAGUUUACAAUACUAUUAAACUUCUUAUUCUUUACUGUAUACCUUGUUAAUCACCACUUCGUUUGUCUUCUCCUGUAGUUCUUCUUAUCCGAAGCAGAAUCUCAUUGUUAGCUACGUGAUGCCACCAAUCGUAAGGUUCGAACGGGGAAGGGACCCGUACUACUUUCAGAACUAAGUUCCUUGGUUCCAUUAAAAGAACUUUACCAGUUUAACCAUCGAAGAAUACUACUCCUUUAACCACGUCAACAUAACCCAUUACGAGGUCCCUUACGAUUCAUAUGGAGUGGAUGUUAAGUCUUUCUUGAAGACGUAUACUAACGAAAAUUACACGUUUUUAUUUAAACAUUUCUUUAACCCCUACGUUUCAAGACGAACGAACAUCUGCUCAGUUCUCUACUUAGGUUUUCUCUCGUUUACUGUCACCAAUAAGCAAAACACCUGUUUGGACCAAAGUGAGCACUUGCAAAAGAACUAUAACAAGUACAGAGGCUAUGUAGAAGUUGAUGAGAUUUUCUCUUCAAUAGAAGACAAAACCGAGUUGUACCUAAUCAACACUUGUUAUAAGCACCUGUCCCCAUACUACCACGAUCAUUGUACGCACCUCUCACCUUACCAGAUGUUCGGUUCAAGUACCUUCUCACAGGAAUGCGUAUAAUGUAAGUGAUAAAACGAGUAGUUAACGUCGAACGAGAACAACGACGUAGAUUUCUUCAUCGGCUACAAGUGUGGAAAAAGCUAGUAGAACGAGAACAACAGUUGUACCAACACAGAAGUUCGUUCUCUUUACUACUCGACGUUCAAUUAGUUCACUGACUUUACCUCGUAGAUUAACUCGAAUCACUCGAACUUUGGUCUUCACCCCGAUUAGUUCAUCCUUGAAACGUCGCCGGAACACUGUGAUCCACCUCAAGAGUGAUACGAAGAUAGACGUCGGAAAACUUUGAUAUGUUUGGAUGUAAGAACCAUGAAUUUUCGUAACGAUGACGGUUUCCAAGUCCAUGGAGUGGAAGUCGUGCUCGUUUCCGAAUACCACGACAAUUCAACUACUACAGAAAACUGAAGUAUAAACCAGAAGUACAGUACUUUCUUGAAUACCCUUAGUGUCUGAACGAUACGUUUUUCAACGUUGUUUUUAGAGUUCUAUAACACUUACGGUACCUACUACAAUUUUGAUGCUUUCACAACUAAGUCCUUGAUUCUCUAUUACCAACCUUGUUCGAAUUUCGACUAUACGAAAGUAAAACACCCUUUGUACCUCAAGGUUGUGGUGUAAAGCUACUGGAGAUACACCUAAAGUAAUUGAGUGCACGCCUACUACUCUGAUGUCAACUCGUAGUAAUGGCCACACUGCAAAAGUACCAACAGCAACUAGUCGUUCGUGUUCUCAACUUAACAUCUAAGUUGUUUGUUCGUUGUUUCGAAGAUUAAAACACGUGGAGGAACCUGGGAUCAUUAAGUAAGUCUAGUAAAUUGUAACUAUUAUAUACAAGAGAUCGUAGUUUUAAGAUACGUCGACUAAAACUUCUUGUUCUUUCCUUGUUAGAUUCCACAGUCAACGCUGUAAUACUUUUACAACAUGGGUGAUUGGGUUUCAAAGUUUUAAACUGUUCAUAUAGUCUUGAAACAGUUGUUGAACGUCGUUGGUCCUUUAGCCUACUUAUAGUAAACUAACUAUCUGACUAAGCUGAACAAGAAUGAGAUAGCCAAAGUUGCCGUUGCUGUCUUGCACGUAAAAGACGGUACUUUGAACACUUCUGUUCCGAAGCCUGAUUUUACCUUCUACCUAAAGAUUCCCUAACGGAGCAUUAAAUAUAACUUUUCCUUUAACGCCGACCUUAUAGUUGUUUACGUUAAUAUCUACUCAAGCUACUUAGCAGUGCAGCUCACGGUAAAUGGAUUUUGAUCAAACAAGCAGAUAGAAAACAACAGAUCUAAAAAGAAAACCCGCUACUGGUUAAACUCUUCACAUGUAGGAAAACGACAGCUGUUACUUA